RNAcentral lists this ribosomal RNA (253 nucleotides) under uncultured bacterium. Its description in RNAcentral is "partial 16S ribosomal RNA". It matches the Rfam family "Bacterial small subunit ribosomal RNA", at positions 524 to 776 of the family's 1533-position model. The record is from RNAcentral.
UACAGAGGUCUCAAGCGUUGUUCGGAUUCAUUGGGCGUAAAGGGUGCGUAGGUGGCGGGGCAAGUCUGGUGUGAAAUCCUGGGGCUCAACCCCGGAACUGCACUGGAUACUGCUUUGCUAGAGUACUGGAGAGGGAACUGGAAUUUACGGUGUAGCAGUGAAAUGCGUAGAUAUCGUAAGGAAGACCAGUGGCGAAGGCGGCGACCUGGGUAGAUACUGACGCUGAGGCGCGAAAGCGUGGGGAGCAAACAGG